RNAcentral lists this ribosomal RNA (397 nucleotides) under uncultured bacterium. Its description in RNAcentral is "partial 16S ribosomal RNA". It matches the Rfam family "Bacterial small subunit ribosomal RNA", at positions 523 to 918 of the family's 1533-position model. The record is from RNAcentral.
AUACGUAGGGGGCGAGCGUUGUCCGGAAUGAUUGGGCGUAAAGGGCGCGUAGGCGGCCUGUUAAGUCUGGAGUGAAAGUCCUGUUUUCAAGAUGGGAAUUGCUUUGGAUACUGAUGGGCUUGAGUGCAGGAGAGGUUAUCGGAAUUCCCGGUGUAGCGGUGAAAUGCGUAGAGAUCGGGAGGAACACCAGUGGCGAAGGCGGGUAACUGGACUGCAACUGACGCUGAGGCGCGAAAGUGUGGGGAGCAAACAGGAUUAGAUACCCUGGUAGUCCACACUGUAAACGAUGAAUGCUAGGUGUAAGAGGUAUCGACCCCUUUUGUGCCGGAGUUAACACAAUAAGCAUUCCGCCUGGGGAGUACGGCCGCAAGGUUGAAACUCAAAGGAAUUGACGGGG